UCAUCGGACGGGACCUCUCUAUUCGCAGCUGCACCUGCCAGCUAUGACACGCACUUUAAAAGAGGAGGAAAAUGUCGCCUGUGAAGUGCGCGUAUUUCGCCCUGGGACCCGGAGCAGAGAGAGGAGCGCCUUUUCAGCGCUCCACUGGAACUUCAUGUAUGCUGCAUAUGCCUAUGGGCUUCAAAUUAACAAGCAGGAUUGGUAUGACGCACAACAAAGAACAAAGAGAAGAGCAAAGCAGAGGCUGUGAUGUGACUGUGAUGUGACUCACAUUCAAAACAGAUGCAAUAUAUCCAUGGACCUCAAACCAGCACAGAGGCAGCGUGGACAGACGGAUGGAGCGGCAGGGAGGAUGACAUCACUGUCACCCGUGGGAGCCGGGGCCUGCCAUUCAUGCCAGCGGUGUGUAUGUGUGUGUGUGUGUGUGUGUGUGUGUGUGUGUGUGCAUCUGUGGGAGCCUCUGUCUCUGUGUGUCACUUCCUGGGAGAGAAUAGAACAGGAAGCCGGAGUGAGAGCCGACAACAAGCACUCGCCUCACCUCCACAAGGAAGCCUUUCUCCCCAGAGAGCAAAAAGGAGGGACGUGUGUGUGUGUGUGUGUGUGUGUGUGUGUGUGUGUGUGUGUCCAUUCAUGCUGCAGGGUGCUGGUGUUGGUUCAGGGUUUGCGUAAGCCUCUACUGUUUCCUUUUUCUUUUACCUCAAGUCUGACUCCUAAAACUUUUGAACAAAUUGUGAUCAUUGUCUCUGUUGGACAGUGGUGUGCACGGACUUUUUAGGGGCAGGGGCACCUUGGCAAAGGGGUACCUGUGACAACCAGGGCCAUUUAACCCUGUGAGCCCCAAUCUGUUUCAGAGCUUUUUUUUCUCUUUUUACAUUUUACUCACUGUGUCCUUGUAUUUCACUGCAAUGUAUUAAUCCUGCAGCUCUAUUGAAUCAGCACAAUCAUGACUAGAAGUAUGAACAACUCUGAAAUGUCUUUCAUGCAGAAUAACACAGUUAUGAAGACAUAAAUCUUUUUCUUUUUUUUU
This is a long non-coding RNA of Centropristis striata (black sea bass), 1027 nucleotides long. RefSeq lists it as uncharacterized. The record is from RefSeq and is a predicted model, not a curated record. The transcript has 4 exons. NCBI's taxonomy places the organism in Eukaryota, Metazoa, Chordata, Actinopteri, Perciformes, Serranidae.